AGAGUUUGAUCAUGGCUCAGAUUGAACGCUGGCGGCAUGCCUUACACAUGCAAGUCGAACGGCAGCGCGGGGCAACCUGGCGGCGAGUGGCGAACGGGUGAGUAAUAUAUCGGAACGUGCCCUGGAGUGGGGGAUAACGCAGCGAAAGUUGCGCUAAUACCGCAUACGAUCUAAGGAUGAAGGCAGGGGACCGCAAGGCCUUGUGCUCCUGGAGCGGCCGAUAUCUGAUUAGCUAGUUGGUGGGGUAAAGGCCUACCAAGGCAUCGAUCAGUAGCUGGUCUGAGAGGACGACCAGCCACACUGGAACUGAGACACGGUCCAGACUCCUACGGGAGGCAGCAGUGGGGAAUUUUGGACAAUGGGCGAAAGCCUGAUCCAGCAAUGCCGCGUGAGUGAAGAAGGCCUUCGGGUUGUAAAGCUCUUUUGUCAGGGAAGAAACGGUAUGGGCUAAUAUCCCGUACUAAUGACGGUACCUGAAGAAUAAGCACCGGCUAACUACGUGCCAGCAGCCGCGGUAAUACGUAGGGUGCAAGCGUUAAUCGGAAUUACUGGGCGUAAAGCGUGCGCAGGCGGUUUUGUAAGUUUGUCGUGAAAGCCCCGGGCUCAACCUGGGAAUUGCGAUGAAGACUGCAAGGCUUGAAUCUGGCAGAGGGGGGUAGAAUUCCACGUAGCAGUGAAAUGCGUAGAGAUGUGGAGGAACACCGAUGGCGAAGGCAGCCCCCUGGGUCAAGAUUGACGCUCAUGCACGAAAGCGUGGGGAGCAAACAGGAUUAGAUACCCUAGUAGUCC
This 789-nucleotide ribosomal RNA is filed under the name uncultured bacterium. RNAcentral's name for it is "bacterial SSU rRNA". It matches the Rfam family "Bacterial small subunit ribosomal RNA", at positions 8 to 796 of the family's 1533-position model. The record is from RNAcentral.